RNAcentral lists this transfer RNA (68 nucleotides) under Actinomycetota bacterium. RNAcentral describes it as "tRNA-Gly". It matches the Rfam family "tRNA". From Rfam's summary of the family: Transfer RNA (tRNA) molecules are approximately 80 nucleotides in length. Their secondary structure includes four short double-helical elements and three loops (D, anti-codon, and T loops). The record is from RNAcentral. Lineage: Bacteria; Bacillati; Actinomycetota.
GCGGGUCAGCGGGGUGGCCGGCAACCUUGCCAAGGUUGGGGUCGCGGGUUCGAAUCCCGUCGUCCGCU